AGAGUUUGAUCAUGGCUCAGAACGAACGUUGGCGGCGUGGAUUAGGCAUGCAAGUCGAACGAAUCCCAACGCUGUAGCAAUACAGUGGUGGGGGAAGUGGCGAAAGGGGCAGUAAUGCGUGGGUAACCUACCUCGGGGACGUGGAUAGCCAUUCUAACGAGUGGGUAAUACGCGGCGAUUUGGUUGAAGGGCAUCCUUUGACCAGGAAAUGAAUUUCGCCUCGAGAGGGGCUCACGUGAUAUUAGCUAGUUGGUAGGGUAACGGCCUACCAAGGCCAAGAUGUCUAGCGGGUGUGAGAGCACGACCCGCGCCACUGGCACUGAGACACUGGCCAGACACCUACGGGUGGCUGCAGUCGAGGAUCUUUGGCAAUGAGCGCAAGCUUGACCAAGCGACGCCGCGUGUGCGAUGAAGGCCUUCGGGUUGUAAAGCACUGUCGAGGGGGACGAAGCCGAAAGGUUGACCGAUCCCUGGAGGAAGCACGGGCUAAGUUCGUGCCAGCAGCCGCGGUAAGACGAACCGUGCGAACGUUGUUCGGAAUCACUGGGCUUAAAGGGCGCGUAGGCGGCUUGCCAAGUCAGGGGUGAAAUCCAGCAGCUUAACUGUUGAAGUGCCUUUGAUACUGGUGAGCUCGAGGGAGGUAGGGGUAUGUGGAACUUCUGGUGGAGCGGUGAAAUGCGUUGAUAUCAGAAGGAACGCCGGUGGCGAAAGCGACGUACUGGACCUUUUCUGACGCUGAGGCGCGAAAGCUAGGGGAGCAAACGGAAUUAGAUACCCCAGUAGUCC
This 786-nucleotide ribosomal RNA is filed under the name uncultured bacterium. Its description in RNAcentral is "bacterial SSU rRNA". It matches the Rfam family "Bacterial small subunit ribosomal RNA", at positions 8 to 796 of the family's 1533-position model. The record is from RNAcentral.